UACAGAGGUCCCAAGCGUUGUUCGGAUUCACUGGGCGUAAAGGGUGCGUAGGUGGCUUGGUAAGUUUGAUGUGAAAUCUCCGGGCUUAACCCGGAAAUGGCAUUGAAUACUAUUGAGCUGGAGGUUUGGAGGGGGACUGGAAUUCUCGGUGUAGCAGUGAAAUGCGUAGAUAUCGAGAGGAACACCAGUGGCGAAGGCGAGUCCCUGGACAACACCUGACACUGAGGCACGAAAGCUAGGGGAGCAAACAGG
Molecule: ribosomal RNA, 252 nt
Filed under: uncultured bacterium
Lineage: Bacteria
Description: partial 16S ribosomal RNA
Rfam family: Bacterial small subunit ribosomal RNA
Source: RNAcentral